RNAcentral lists this long non-coding RNA (757 nucleotides) under Nicotiana benthamiana. Its description in RNAcentral is "long non-coding RNA (NBEN_LNC015527)". Lineage: Eukaryota; Viridiplantae; Streptophyta; Magnoliopsida; Solanales; Solanaceae. The record is from RNAcentral.
AGAGAUCAACCGUUGCGAUGAAAAACGAUGCUAGGCGUCAUUUUCUUCAACUAAAAAGAACGCCGCAGAGGAACCGAGAGCUUUGAGCUGAAAAACUCAAAAGACUUAGCCGCAUCUCCCUGAAUUCUAAUUCUUCAUACCCCUACCAUCAUUGUUUCAACCAAGGAAUCAGCCACGCUCUGUCCAAUUUGACCUAAUCCAGCAGAAACUAACAAUCCUACUUGGUUCAACCGACAAAAAUGAAGAAUUAGAGGCGCGAACAAACUGCCCAUGCUCAAAUUUAUCCUCGUAAAGAUGGUAGCCGCUCUCUUUUGGAUAUUUCAAAACGAUAAUUCAAAUAUUAAAAUCAAUGAAAAUUUUGCCGUUUUUCUAUCUUUUGUUCCGUCAUAAUGGACGAUGAAGAAAUCUGAAACAGUUUUGAGGUUAUAGUUUUGUCAGAUUCUCCAAUUUUUGUGAGUUUCUGCGGUGGGGUUUUCGAUUCCGGUUCCCUUGUCGUGGCUCAAAGAUUUGGGAGGCAAUAUUUUUUAAAUUUCAUUUGUCAAAAUAUACUUGAUAAUCGAGGUUGCCGACGGGUUUCACGGUCCGAGCUUCCGCUACUGUUGCAUUUCCGGUCCGAUUCCUUUUCUUUUGCUCGUUCAAUUUCUGGCAGAAACGAGUUCAUUGAAGCAAUUUAUAAAUGUGGUUAUUUCUUUAACUAUUAAUUAGUGACACAAAGUUUUAAUGACUGAAUUUUGCCUCCCACUAUCUCCUAUGCUUU